GCUGAGAUAUGAGGAAAAUGAAGAUUCUACUGAGUAUCACAAUGUUGGCCAUCUUAUACACCGACUUCGUCCCUGUGUUUAAUGGGAACGUAUCAUCUGCUUUGAAUAAUACCAACAUAAUCCGAUUGAGGGGGCUGGACACGGAGACUACAACAAGUUUAGAUAAAAACGAGUACAACGUAAUCAAGUACUGUGCAGAAACGUGCCCGUAUAUGGAGCGAUUCCAUGGAAGAAGUGAAGGUGACGGGUACCUUGCCUGCUGUGCCCAAGACUUAUGCAAUUAUAAAAGACUGGGGAGCGGGCACAGAGCGCUCUGUGCUAGUGUCCAAGCGGUGGCAAUGGCAUUCAUAGCGAGCUUCUUCGGGACUCUCAGGGUCAGACCAGGAGAUGCUGGGAUAGAACUGUGACCUCUGAGACCCUGCCCACGCCACGUCCCUCUCAGUAAGAAAUUCUCACCCAUGUCUUCUGGAAAAGAGCUACCCGGGGCCCUGGAAGCCUUUCCCAUAGCUCCUGAGAGCCAGCAUAGGAGCCCUUCCCUGGCUUAUGUUCUUUAUGUUUCUUUGAGAUGUUUGGAAAGUGUUAUAUAAAUGCUCACUGGUAUGAUUAAUAGUAACGAUAAUAAUAAGAAGAAUUUCCAUUGCAUUUUCAUCCUUAUUUCUUGUGGGGGGCAUGUGUCUUUUUUUCUCUCAAAAUGUGAUACUCUAGGACUCAAAGUCUUGGAGCAUACCUGGGAAAUUCUUAUCAAACAAGAUGCUGGAAGGAAAACGCCUUUGUAACCAAUGCUAGCCAUUAUUAGCUAUAAGAUUGCAAGCUCUGUGAGGGCAGGAAAUAUAUCUCAGCUCAGUUUUCUACCUCCCCUAACGCCCAACACGGUAACCUUCACAAAGCAGGUUCUCAAUAAAUGUGUUGAAUUAUAUUGAACA
Molecule: long non-coding RNA, 923 nt
Filed under: Phascolarctos cinereus (koala)
Lineage: Eukaryota; Metazoa; Chordata; Mammalia; Diprotodontia; Phascolarctidae
Description: lncRNA (ENSPCIG00000029510.2)
Source: RNAcentral